This 285-nucleotide ribosomal RNA is filed under the name uncultured bacterium. Its description in RNAcentral is "partial 16S ribosomal RNA". It matches the Rfam family "Bacterial small subunit ribosomal RNA", at positions 335 to 637 of the family's 1533-position model. The record is from RNAcentral.
CCCCCUACGGGGGGCAGCAGUGGGGAAUAUUGCACAAUGGGGGAAACCCUGAUGCAGCGACGCCGCGUGAAGGAAGAAGUAUUUCGGUAUGUAAACUUCUAUCAGCAGGGAAGAAAGUGACGGUACCUGACUAAGAAGCCCCGGCUAACUACGUGCCAGCAGCCGCGGUAAUACGUAGGGGGCAAGCGUUAUCCGGAUUUACUGGGUGUAAAGGGAGCGUAGACGGCUGAGCAAGUCAGAAGUGAAAGCCCGGGGCUCAACCCCGGGACUGCUUUUGAAACUGCG